Molecule: long non-coding RNA, 229 nt
Filed under: Elaeis guineensis (African oil palm)
Lineage: Eukaryota; Viridiplantae; Streptophyta; Magnoliopsida; Arecales; Arecaceae
Description: long non-coding RNA (EGUI_LNC036567)
Source: RNAcentral
AUGCAUAUCUCCUAUUAAUUCAGAGAGGUCAAUUUCAUCUUGACUCACACACCGACUUGAUAAGUACUUGACUACAUCCAGUAUCCUUUCGUGACAAAGUUAAAAACUCAGAUGGUCCGAUACUAAAGUACAAUGAAUUGCUUACAAGUCACCGUGGUGGUAUCAUAUUAGAGGGAUACUUAUACCCAUAUCCUUCACGAGCUACUCUUGACAGUAGAAUACUCGGUAC